Molecule: ribosomal RNA, 241 nt
Filed under: uncultured bacterium
Lineage: Bacteria
Description: partial 16S ribosomal RNA
Rfam family: Bacterial small subunit ribosomal RNA
Source: RNAcentral
ACGUAUCCAACCUGCCGUCUACUCGUUGGACAGCCUUCUGAAGGAAGAUUAAUACAAGAUGGCAUCAUGGAGUCCGCAUGUUCACAUGAUUAAAGGUAUUCCGGUAGACGAUGGGGAUGCGUUCCGAUUAGAUAGUAGGCGGGGUAACGGCCCACCUAGUCUUCGAUGGAUAGGGGUUCUGAGAGGAAGGUCCCCCACAUUGGAACUGAGACACGGUCCAAACUCCUAGGGAGGCAGCAUG